UACGUAGGGGGCAAGCGUUGUCCGGAUUUAUUGGGCGUAAAGGGCGCGUAGGCGGCUUGGCAAGUGGAAGGUGAAAUCCCUCGGCUCAACUGAGGAACUGCCCUCCAAACUGCUUUGCUUGAGGCCGGGAGAGGUAAGUGGAAUUCCCAGUGUAGCGGUGAAAUGCGUAGAUAUUGGGAGGAACACCAGUGGCGAAGGCGGCUUACUGGACCGGUUCUGACGCUGAGGCGCGAAAGCGUGGGGAGCAAACGGG
This 253-nucleotide ribosomal RNA is filed under the name uncultured bacterium. Its description in RNAcentral is "partial 16S ribosomal RNA". It matches the Rfam family "Bacterial small subunit ribosomal RNA", at positions 524 to 776 of the family's 1533-position model. The record is from RNAcentral.